Molecule: long non-coding RNA, 1805 nt
Organism: Equus caballus (horse)
Lineage: Eukaryota; Metazoa; Chordata; Mammalia; Perissodactyla; Equidae
Source: Ensembl
UGGCCCGGGGUGAGGGUGGGAGGGGUGUGGCCCCUUCAGUGUGGUCUGUCUCCGCUCUGGACGGCUUCCGUUUCCGGAGUCUCACGGAAGUUCCUGAUAACCCAUGAGGUAUCUCAGCCCAGGGCACGCCAGGCCCUUAGGUGACUCGUCCCUCAGAGGCUGCCUGCCUCUUCCCUCUUCCUGUUAUCGUCACUUGUUGAGGGAAAUAAACAAGGAUAUACAAUGAAAGCAGAUUUUAGUGGACUUGAAACCAGAAGUCAUCUCAGGUGCCGAAAAGCAUGAAAAUCUGCCCCAGGGACUCUACGAUGACUUUAAACGGAACUGGUUUUACAGCAGAUGAUCUGGCUUGUCCUGCUGUGGGUCUCACAGGCAAGGCUUGCGAGCUGAAGAGCUGGAGGUGAAUGCAGCAAGGUGGUAGCAUUCAAAACGGAAAGCCUGGUUAAUUCUGGAAAGUGAAACCCAUGUCAUUGGCUGCCGGAAGUUCUGGGGAAGUUUGUCCAUUGGAUUAAGUGGAACUGUGUCCCCGGGGGCUGUCAUCGGGCUCUCUUUCUCAUGUGGAACCUCAGGUUUGGGAAUGCUGAGCGAAUGGCAAGGUGGCCUCAGGCCAGUGCCGUCGUCCGAGCCCUGAGCCCCCUCUCCUGCUGCAGUGCCCGCAUGCCCAGCUCUCUGUUCUGCCUGCGACAUUCAGGUGGCCUGGUGGCAAGCAGGUCUGCCUGUCUGUGUGCUCUUUUAACUACCUCUCCCUUCAUUUAGAAGAAAUGAACUUUGAACUUGGGUUGGGUGGGGGCUAGAAGGAAGAGCGUGCUAAAAAGUGUUGUGUAAACACUGCGGCUCUGAUCCUUCUAAUCUCAUACUACCUGUACGGACAGGUGGACGUGGAGAAGCUGCUGGCCGGAAAGGCGGAAUUUUUCCAGGCCGUGUGUUAUGCAAUAGAGGAGCGUAUCUUUGAAGCUGCAGGAGGAGGUCAGGGCAGCUUGUCCACUCGGCAUAUUACGCAGAAGUUUCCCUUUAGAAGCUCUUAUUUGCUUGAGGAUCAUUAGAAAUUCCUGUGCCAACGUUUAGCUGGAUCUCCGGGGUCUGCGAGGGAGAAGAAAAUGAGAAUGUUGUCUCUUCAUCCAGUUACAACGUGGAGGUAGACGGCGAUUUCACAGGUCUGUGGACCAGGCCGUGCUGAGCUUGCGUCUGGGACAGUGACCAGACAGAUAAAAGGAGAAGUGAGAGAUAUUUUUAGCCUGUCAGAGCUGCUUGGAAACAUUGGUUUCUCCCCCACCCAGCAAUUCCAGCAAGGAGGGUCAGGAGUCAGAGCCUUUGCCCUGACUCGGUGUGUAGAACAUUGGCUUCUAUGUGGCACUUUAGAACAUUUGUCACGACUGGUGAGUUGCCCACCAGAUUUGAUGGUGUAGCUUUGAAACCCACACAGUUCAGCCCAAAUAUUUGACGUCACUGUGGAGGGCCUCCGAGGGGGCUCAAGGGGGCUCAUGUGUCCCACCGUGGUCCAGGGACCAGGCCCUCCCUCGGUGCAGAUUUCCUGGGCAGUUGGGGCUUGAGGACAUAGACUCUUUUUCUCUUCUCCUAUGUUGAGGGGAUUCAAGCGUGCGUUGAAGUUCGGACCUCGAGGGCCACGUGACCUGUACAGUUAGGUUCUUACAAUUUUGGGAGCUCCAAUUUAAACCACUAGCAAUGUUAAAUCAACCAAAAACUUCAGUGAGGUUGUCAAUGGAGUGCAAAUUCAGAGACGUGAUGAAAGGAAGGGAUCCUGUCAGGGACAGACUGGCUGUUAGAACCACUUGUGCAGACUAUAGGGC